CUUCCGGAGCUACGCGUUAAGUCGCACCGCCUGGGGAGUACGGCCGCAAGGUUAAAACUCAAAUGAAUUGACGGGGGCCCGCACAAGCGGUGGAGCAUGUGGUUUAAUUCGAUGCAACGCGAAGAACCUUACCUACUCUUGACAUCCACAGAAUUUGGCAGAGAUGCCUUAGUGCCUUCGGGAACCCUGAGACAGGUGCUGCAUGGCUGUCGUCAGCUCGUGUUGUGAAAUGUUGGGUUAAGUCCCGCAACGAGCGCAACCCUUAUCCUUUGUUGCCAGCGAUUCGGUCGGGAACUCAAAGGAGACUGCCGGUGAUAAACCGGAGAGAAGGUGGGGAUGACGUCAAGUCAUCAUGGCCCUUACGAGUAGGGCUACACACGUGCUACAAUGGCGCAUACAAAGAGAAGCGACCUCGCGAGAGCAAGCGGACCUCACAAAGUGCGUCGUAGUCCGGAUCGGAGUCUGCAACUCGACUCCGUGAAGUCGGAAUCGCUAGUAAUCGUGGAUCAGAAUGCCACGGUGAAUACGUUCCCGGGCCUUGUACACACCGCCCGUCACACCAUGGGAGUGGGUUGCAAAAGAAGUAGGUAGCUUACCUUCGGGAGGGCGCUUACCCUUUGUGAUUCAUGACUGGGGUGAAGUCGUAAC
This 648-nucleotide ribosomal RNA is filed under the name Pantoea agglomerans. RNAcentral describes it as "bacterial SSU rRNA". It matches the Rfam family "Bacterial small subunit ribosomal RNA", at positions 843 to 1492 of the family's 1533-position model. Lineage: Bacteria; Pseudomonadati; Pseudomonadota; Gammaproteobacteria; Enterobacterales; Erwiniaceae. The record is from RNAcentral.